AUUGAACGCUGGCGGCAGGCCUAACACAUGCAAGUCGAGCGGAUGAAUGGAGCUUGCUCCUGGAUUCAGCGGCGGACGGGUGAGUAAUGCCUAGGAAUCUGCCUGGUAGUGGGGGAUAACGUCCGGAAACGGGCGCUAAUACCGCAUACGUCCUGAGGGAGAAAGUGGGGGAUCUUCGGACCUCACGCUAUCAGAUGAGCCUAGGUCGGAUUAGCUAGUUGGUGGGGUAAAGGCCUACCAAGGCGACGAUCCGUAACUGGUCUGAGAGGAUGAUCAGUCACACUGGAACUGAGACACGGUCCAGACUCCUACGAGAGGCAGCAGUGGGGAAUAUUGGACGAUGGGCGAAAGCCUGAUCCAGCCAUGCCGCGAGUGUGAAGAAGGUCUUCGGAGUGUAAAGCACUUUAAGUUGGGAGGAAGAGCAGUAAGUUAAUACCUUGCUGUUUUGACGGUACCAACAGAAUAAGCACCGGCUAACUUCGUG
This 484-nucleotide ribosomal RNA is filed under the name uncultured bacterium. RNAcentral describes it as "partial 16S ribosomal RNA". It matches the Rfam family "Bacterial small subunit ribosomal RNA", at positions 30 to 507 of the family's 1533-position model. The record is from RNAcentral.